RNAcentral lists this microRNA precursor (113 nucleotides) under Malus domestica (apple). RNAcentral's name for it is "miR395j stem-loop (mdm-MIR395j)". Its record names the gene mdm-MIR395j. The stretch from base 10 to 105 matches the Rfam family "mir-395 microRNA precursor family". Rfam says of the family: mir-395 was identified in both Arabidopsis thaliana and Oryza sativa computationally and was later experimentally verified. mir-395 is thought to target mRNAs coding for ATP sulphurylases. The mature sequence is excised from the 3' arm of the hairpin. Lineage: Eukaryota; Viridiplantae; Streptophyta; Magnoliopsida; Rosales; Rosaceae. The record is from miRBase by way of RNAcentral.
AAUUAGCAGGUGUCACCAAGAGUUCCCUUGACCACUUCAUUGGGAAAUUGCCGUUUUUGCAACUAUAUAUCCUGCGGAAGUGUUUGGGAGAACUCCUGUUGGCAUUUGAUUUU